UACGGAGGAUGCAAGCGUUAUCCGGAUUUAUUGGGUUUAAAGGGUGCGCAGGUUGUUUGAUAAGUCAGUGGUGAAAGUCUGUCGCUUAACGGUAGGAUUGCCAUUGAUACUGUUAGACUUGAAUAUGGAUGAGGUAGGCGGAAUGUGUAGUGUAGCGGUGAAAUGCAUAGAUAUUACACAGAACACCGAUUGCGAAGGCAGCUUACUAAUCCAUCAUUGACGCUGAGGCACGAAAGCGUGGGGAGUCAAG
Molecule: ribosomal RNA, 250 nt
Filed under: uncultured prokaryote
Description: partial 16S ribosomal RNA
Rfam family: Bacterial small subunit ribosomal RNA
Source: RNAcentral